UCCUGGUUAGCUCAGUCGGUAGAGCUCUCCACUGAAAAUGGAGUGGCUCUUGUUUCGAUACCAGGACCAAGCA
Non-coding RNA from Ixodes scapularis (black-legged tick), 73 nucleotides. The record is from Rfam. Lineage: Eukaryota; Metazoa; Arthropoda; Arachnida; Ixodida; Ixodidae.